RNAcentral lists this long non-coding RNA (5237 nucleotides) under Gossypium raimondii (Peruvian cotton). RNAcentral's name for it is "long non-coding RNA (GRAI_LNC005733)". Lineage: Eukaryota; Viridiplantae; Streptophyta; Magnoliopsida; Malvales; Malvaceae. The record is from RNAcentral.
UCAAGAUAAAUAAAUAAAGAUAUAUUCCGCUAUCAAUCUAUCGUCAAAUUCAAUGCCCCACAAAUAUUAAAAUUAAGCAUUACCUUAUCUCUAUACUAAAGAUCAAUGACAGAAACGACUUUUGGAUUGCUCAAUUAUCUUAUCUCUUACCAAAUGAAAGCCACAUUAAAUAUCCAAGUAGAACGCAAUAUGCUUUGCACCUAUAUAAUCCCCGAAAGCCCAGAAGUAGCAUGCUCCAUGAUUCAUGCUACAUGCUACUAAACCCCACUAAGGCACCAAAUUAGCCUUCUAUUCUUUAGGCGGUCUGCUUCAUGCUGAUUUUCCAUACCAUAAAUUACGUUUUCUCUUCCUCCUUUUAAUGGAAUAAUCAUUCUGCCCUUAUUCUACACUUUAACAGUGUUUCAUUAGUUUGUUUAACUUAGUAUUUAUUUGUUGGAAUCACCAAUUCCUUUUUGUUAAGGGAAUUUCUGAAUUCUUCCACAAAAGUUUUUGAAUAUCUAUAUUGAAUAAAGUCGGGAGAAAAAACUCUCAUUGAUGUUCAAUAUCGAUCUUUAUUGAAAAUUCAGUCAUCUAUCAGACCACAUUUUGAAAACUUACUUUCGAGAGAGCUAGAAAUUCCCUCAAACACUUUUCUAUUCCUUAAACGGCUGUGAUAGUCAUCUCAAUUCCACCCACAGCAGUAACACACCAAAAACAUGACCAUGUCUACGUCUUUCGACCAACCUUUGAGGUCAUCCGCCUCUGCAAAUAAAACGGUGAUUAGUUCGCCGGUGACAAAAAUCAACAAAAAUAAGAAUUCGUAAAACACAACAGUAGACAGAAGAAUCCCAAAAUUCCCUCUAGUUUUUGGUUAGAGGGACUAAAGAUGGGGAACAACAAACUAAAGAUAUCAAUAGGUGAAUAUUCAAAGAGAGAAAGAGAGGAUGAGCGUCAGAAGGAUGGACGAAGAGAGAAAGUGAGGUGAGAAACUUUUUUGCUUGGAUUAGGUUAAAGUUAAAAUACUAUUUAAUAAAUUAUUAAACAUAAAAUAAAAUGUUUUAAAAAUCAAUUUUGCUAAAAUAUUUUACUUUUUUUUUCUUACUUUUAAUAUGUUAAAAUAUUUUAUACGUAAUGGUGUGUUUAAUAAAUCAUUGAAAAUUUUUGUUUUAUUGAGAAUGAAUUUUCAACCUUUAAUAUUUUAGUUUUAGAUGUGUUUAAUAAUUAUUUUAAUUUUUUACUUAAUAUAAAAUUUCAAAAAAAUAUUGAAAUAAAUAUUUAUUUUAUUUUAUUUUAUUUUAUUCAAAAUUUAAAAUAAAUUAUCUUCUUUUUGUUGAAAAUGAGACAUUUAAAUUAUCGUAUUUAUUUUCAUCAAAAACUAUCUAAAAUAAUAUAAAAUAUUAUAUUAAUAAGAUUAAAAUUAAAAAUAAAUAUUUUUUUAAAAAAAUUAAUUUUUAUUAAAUGGAAGCUUAGUCUGUGAUUCAUAAGGUCGUAUGAGAUCAUCGAGAGAAUUGGGCCAGUAGCUUACCGUUUAGCUUUACCGUAUGAAUUAGAGAAAAUUCACAACGUGUUUCAUGUAUCAAUGUUACGGAGAUAUCGAUCUGACCCUUCACACAUAAUUUCGCCUGUUGAUGUAGAAAUUCUGGUAGAUAUGUCCUAUAGUGAAGAACCAAUUAGAAUUGUAGCUCGAGAAGUCAAAUAAUAAACGAAUAGCUCUGGUUAAAGUUUUCUAGCAUCGUCAUGGGGUCGAGGAAACUACCUGGGAACGAGAAGAAGCUAUGAAAGUGCAAUACCUAAACCUAUUUUCUGGUAAGAUUUUCAGGGACGAAAAUUCCUUUAGGGGGAGAGUUGUAAUGACCCAUUUAUAGUGGUGUUAAAAGCAAUGGUCUCGGGACCACGAUUUCGACAAGAGAGUAAAUAUUUUAUUAAUUAUUUAAAGCUUACGAGUGUUUAUUAAGGUAUUAUUAAAUUUUUGUUAAGAAAUUUUGAAGUUUAAACUAUUAAUUAGGUAAAAAAGAACUAAAUUGAAAAAGGUGCAAAAGUCUUCUUCUGUUAGUUAAGUGGAUUAAAUAGCUUUAACAAGGUGAGUUAAUGGACUUAUUUAGUAAUUAUGUUGUAUAUGUUUAUAGUGGACAAAUAUGGACAUGUUUAUGCUAGUAUUUAAGUUAUAUUAUCAGGGCAAAAGAGUAAUUAAUCAAAUAAUCAUGAAAUAAAUAAAACAAAAGCUGUCAUGUUCUUUCUCUUUUUCUUGUUUAACUAUAAACACCAUUGAAGGGGGGAGAAAAGCUUCAUUUUUCUUAAUUCACUUGCAUGGUAUGUAUUCAAGUCCCGUUUUUAGUAAUUUUUAUAUUUUUGAGCUUUUUUUAGCUUAAACUACUUAGCUCGAGGAUUAAUUUGCAAAGCUGUUAAAGGUUAAAGGAAAUGUUAGGAAUGAAAUUGAUGAAUUUGUGAUGUUAAUUGAUAGGUUAUUACAUUUGGUUGUUAAAUAAAUUUAUUUUGUUAAGUGAUUUUUUUAUAAAUUUAGUGUUAAAGAUUAAUUUGCUAAAAGUGUAAAAUUCCUUGAAAUUAUUUUGGGUAAAUAUGGGCUGAUUAGGUACUCUAGAAGAAUCAGUUAACACAUGUUGUCUAUGAAAAUAGUGAAUUUGCAAGUUAUGGUUAUAAUGACUAAGUUGUAAAAAAAUUAAAAUAGGAGGGGUAAUUUUGUAAUCUCAUGAUAAUAUGAAUUAUAGAUUGAAUUGAAUAUUUGAGGUUAUUUGAAGUACUUAAUUGAAUGAAGGUAUCUAUUUAGAUCAAAAGAAACCACAACUGGAUUUAAAUCGAGAAAACGCAAAAGCUUUGGAUUAGUCUCCAACUCUACCUUUGCGACUAUAGUUACCAACGCAAGUUCGUAUGAAUAUAAUUUUAUUAAUGAUAUUUUAAUUGAUUAUUUGUUAUAUUAUAUUAGUUAUAAAUUGACUUGAAUAUAUAAAUAUAUUGACAUUUUGAAUAAUUGACGGAUAAAUAAUCCCGUUUGAACCUUAAGAAUUCGUAGGAUUUGAAUGACAUGUCAUUAAGAAUUUCAUGUUUCGGGUACUGGUCUUGAAUGUACUACCAAUGACUAAGGUCCUGCAUUUGUUGUGAAUUCUCCACAGCUCGUGUGAGCAGUAUCAUGUAGCUAAAAUUCUGACCCACAGCUGGUGUGAGCAGGCCCAUUUCACUGCUCGUGUGAGCACUAUUGAAAAUGAAAUGUUACGAUUAUAUGGAAAGGCACACUAUAUGUGAGCAUUCCCGAGUAUCCAAUAAAUUUCUAGAUGGUUCACAGGUAAGUAAAGGUUAAUGGCAAGGCAUGUAUUCAAAUGGAUAAUUAUUCAUAAUCUUAUAAAAGGUAAAUUUGAUGAAUGGUAUGUACAUGGAAAUUUACUUAUGAUAUGGUUGAACUUAUAUGUAUUAUGUAUUAACUUGCUAACUUGUGAGUUUGGUGGUGUAUAUAGGAGUUUAUUUAGCUUAUGAUCAUGGUAAUGAUGUUAUUCAUAUUUUAUAUAUUGAGCUUAAGAAGGGUAAGUUAUAUUUGAAUUUAUACGAGCUUACUAAGCACUAGUUGCUUACGUAGUUAUUUUCCUUUGUUUCGUAGAUUAUCGGAAGCUUGAUCGGCUGGAAGCUUGUCAGAGUUCUAUCAACACUAUCCAGUAAUCUCUUUGGUAGUUCUUGAGUUAUUUUGGCCAAGGUUAUAAAUGGUAUAUUGGUUAGGAGAAAUAGGUUGAUUGAAUUGGUAGAUUUAUAUGUGUUUGAAGUGUGUUUAGGUUUAUUGAAGGUAUGUACUAAUGAAGUAGAUUUUUGGGCAAGUUGUGGGCUUUAAAUGGCUUGUUUUUGGGGGUUUGGGUGCCGAUUUUGGAGGAAGAAUUAAGAGAAAAAAAUUAAAAUUUGGGAGAAGAAUGGAAGGGGUGAGGGCGGCACAAAAAGAAGAUUGAGUAGAGGGAAUGAUUGUUGAUGAAAUAAGUGUGAAAAAGGGGUGUAUUUAUAGGGAUGGUGGGGGUUUAAGAGAUAGCAACAAAAAUUUAAAAGACUUUUUCAAAAUUAAUUACUAAAAGAUAAUCAAAAUUAAAAAUAUUAAAAUAAUUUAUAUUUAUCAAUUAAAUAAAUAAAAUUAAUUCGACUCAAUAAUUAUCUCUAGCAAGAAAAUCCAAUUAAAAAGAUAUAAUUAAUUGAUAAUUAAAUUAAAUCAUUUGAAUAAAAAGAAAUUUCUUUGUGGUCCAAAAUUGACCAUUUAUUUUGCAAACUCCCAAAUGGGUUACUUAGAAAAUAUUUCUUAGAAAUUAUAACAAAAUUAAUUCCAAGGAAAUAUUGGAGGGGUCACAAUUUGGUCCCUCUUAAAAUCCAACCUUCUUGAUAGAAAUUUUUUCUAUUAUAUUUAUCUUCAAAAUAUUGUCUAAGUAGUUUAUUUUUAAAGAAAAAUUUAACACUUAUUGUUUGAUUAAACUUACUGAGAUUUUAUUGUGCUCAACUUUACUGUUUCCAUAGUGUUUAAGGCGCUGGCCAUUUACCUUGAAUAAUCCCCCUUUCUAUUGUGCAACUCUACAACUCCGUAUGGAUAGACUUGGUGAAUCAGGUAGGGCCUAGAGCAUCGAGAUUUAAGUUUUCAAGGGAACAAUUUCAUCCUAAAGUUAAACAACAAGGCUCUCUGGCCUGCUUUGAAUUCUCAAUACUAAAUGUGCUUGUCAUGACAUCAUUUUAUUUUCUCUUUCCAAAUCAUGGCAUUCUCUUACGAGAACAUUUUUGAUUCUUCCAAUUCAGCUAACUGAAGUUUUCGUUUGUCUCUAGCAAGAUUCAUGUUCAUUGAGUUGCUUUAGAGCCUAGUAAACUCUAUGUUCAAGCUCCAAAGGAAGAUGGUAGGUUUUUCCAAACACUAAACGGUAUGAAGAUAUCCCCAACAGAGUUUUAAAGGUCGUUCGAUAAGCCCAUAGCGCACCGUCGAGUUUCCUUGACCAAUUUUUUUGUUAGGUCUUACCACCUUUUCAAGAAUGUUCUUUAUUUCUUUAUUUUCCAACUCAGCUUGCCUAUUUUUCUAUGGAUGGUAAGUUGUAGCAAUAUUUUUCUUGACAUCAUAUUUGUCCAAUAAUCACUUAAGUCAUUUAUUCACAAAGUGGGGCCUUUAAUAACUUAUUAUGGCUCUUGAUGUUUCGAACCUUGUGAAUAUAUGCUUGUGUAGAAAGCGCAUAACUGCCCUGGUAUCGUUCGUUGGACAAGCUUUAGCCUCAACCCACUUUAACACGUAAUAAAUUGUC